GAUGAACGCUGGCGGCGUGCCUAAUACAUGCGAGUCGAGCGAACAGACGAUUAGCUUUCCCCUCUGACCUUACCGGCGAAUGGGUGAGUAACACGUGGAUAACCUACCUAUAAGACUGGGCUAAAUUCGGGAAACCGGAGCUAAAACCGGAAAAUAUAUUGAACCGCAUGGUUCAAUAGUGAAAGACGGUUUUGCUGUCACUUAUAGAUCGAUCCGCUCCGCAUUAGCUGGUCGGUAAGGUAACGGCUUACCAAGGCGACGAUGCGUAGCCGAACUGAGAGGGGGGUCGGCCGCACUGGAGCUGAGACACGGUCCAGACGCCUACGGGAGGCAGCAGUAGGGAAUCGGCCGCAAUGGGCGAAAGCCUUGCGGAGCAACGCCGCGUGAGUGAUGAAGGUCUUCGGAUCGUAAAACUCUGUUAUGAGGGAAGAACAAAUGUGUAAGUAACUAUGCACGUCUUGACGGUACCUAAUCAGAAAGCGACGGCUAACUACGUG
This 497-nucleotide ribosomal RNA is filed under the name uncultured bacterium. RNAcentral's name for it is "partial 16S ribosomal RNA". It matches the Rfam family "Bacterial small subunit ribosomal RNA", at positions 28 to 507 of the family's 1533-position model. The record is from RNAcentral.